AGAUUUAGGGUUUCCGCCAAGUAUUCUUGUUUUUCUUUGAAGUUUCGUUUCUUAAGUUGAGCCUUGGCACUUUUCAGCUAUUUUUGUUGAUUUGGAAGUACAUUUUGAAGGAAACUACAUUUUUUUCUGUUUUGACCACUACCUAAUUGAACACUUGCUCCAGAGGCCCUUAAGACACAGCUCUUUUUCACUACAGAGAAGACAAGAAAUACUGCAAAGGCAGCAAGAAGACUAACAGCUCAAUCUUCCCAAGAAACUGGAAAAGCUAUACCCAGUUUGGAUAUCAGAUGGAAUGCCAGGUUACAAAUCUGAGUUUAAAAAUCAGCCUUCUUCCAAGGGACUAAGAAUGAUUUCCUCCCUAAUCCUGGCACACCUAGUAGCCCUUGUGAAUUGCUGUAGUUGAUGAAGUCUAUGGAACAAUUUUCAGAGUUGAGGCAUGAUAAGUAUCAUUGCUACCAAAUGUUUAUUAACAGAUGAAAUUAAUUGAGCAUGCUAGAGAAAUUAAUUUUACAAGUUUGCAUUUGAAUUUUUCUGGUUGUACUUGAAAAAUGACUCCGCAUAGAAUUCUGUACCAACUUUCAUUAUCUUUCUUCCGGAAAUCUCUCAACGAAGUGAUCGGUACCCCCCGGAUUUGCUCUUCGACCACGUCAAUGUAAACUUCUCUCAUUUCAUUUCAUUUCAUCACAAUCCUCUUAUCAUUUAUGACACUUUUUACCUCUCUUCUUUCCUUUUUGGUUGAGAAUUUAGUCAAACAAGUAGGUAGAUUGGUGCUUUAGCCUAACUGUGUUAGAGGAGGCACAGGCCUUUCAGCAGAACUCUAACGGUUAGUUAACAACUCAUUUAGUAAAACCCAACGGCUUAGAAUCAAUGUUAGUGUGCAUUUCACCAGGAUUGCCACGUCAGACACAAAGGAGUAUAGAUUCAAAUGUAAUUCAAGCAAUGUAACUUUUCGCCAUUCUAUUAAUAAAAUAAGAGGUUAUACAGUAUUUCAGUUCAUUCUUUUUCUCUUUAUAAACUUAGGGUUCGUUUUUUCCUCUUCAAUUUUUUUUUUUUCAAUCAAUCUACACUGUUUUCAUUUUCUCACCAAAUUUUGGUAUCAUUACACUUUCCGAUAAACAGAGUACUCUGUUUUUGCAACCAUUUGUUUCAUCUUUAACACCUUUCUUAUGGCACUUUCAAGUAGAUGCUUUUUGGUUGAACGGAGAAAGUACUAAUGAAUGAGUUCACAAUUUGAAUUGUUUUACUGAUAUGAAUGACGUUGCAGAUCGUUUGAAUGAUGUGGGUGUUGACGAAAUCGUGAAAGAAACGCAACACAGGUGAUUGAAUGUAAUUGAGAUAUGUAAAAUAUUUGAAAACCAUGAAAAGCUUCAAAUACUUGCCUCUCAACCACAACGAAGGCCUCCAACUGCAAAGGCUUUGAGAGUUUAGGAAGGAUGACCACGUGUGGAGUAAGAAGAAAAAAAAAGAUGCAAAGACAGUACAUGAGUUUAUUAAAAUUUCAAGGGAACAUGUAGGCAUAGUACUUCUUCACUAAAGGGAAGACAAGAGGACAACAUUAGAUCACAUUAUAUCUUUUAAUUAUUGCGUAUACAGUCAUGUUUUGAGUCUCCCUCUUUUAUAUAUAUUUUUUCUAAUACAAACAAGAAAACCCAAAAAAUCAUAAAUAUAACAAGAAAACAACCAAAGUAGCCAUUUAAUCUUCCCAAUAAGUUAGAAAAGUUAUGUCUCUUAAUUGUAAGCGUGAUAUAAUUUUAACGAGUAUUUUAAUAUUUAUUUAAUUUUACAUUGUUUCAUUUUUAUUGUGGAUCAUGUUGAUAAUUUUGGUGGCGCUACAAUUAAAAGUUUUCAUAAAAGAUAUGAAAACCUGUUGUCUUAACAACUAUAUAACUGAAAUUUCAUUGGAAGAGGUAACAAAAAAUCUAUUUUUAUAUAGGUUUCUUUCCCACAUAAGUUCUUGUAUUGAUUCAAGAGGAUUUUUUUUUCCUUUUAAAUUGAAACAAUCCAUUGCUACCCUAAAGGUGUUUAUCCCUUAGCCCUAAACAAAAAAUUUGUUUUUUAUAGGUUUCUUUCCAACACAAGUUUUUGUAUUGAUUCCAGAGUUUUUUUUCUCUUUUUUUGAAUUGAAACAAUCCAUUACUACCCUAAAGGUGUUUAUCCAAAUUUUCGUUGCAUAAUUUUAUAGAAGCUUCAAUUAUGACUCAAGAAACUUUUGGUAUAGGUGAAGGUGGGUUUACGGUUUUAGAUGUAGAAGUGAUACAUUUUGUAGUUGCGCUGAGUUAUACUCUGGCUUUUUAAGACAUAUUUAGUGCGGCAAAAAUAGAUAUAAAUUUGAGUAAUGAAAAUGAAUUUUCAACUUUUUAUUGGGCAGUAAAAUAUGAGAGGUAAAACUCUUCAAGUUACUUUACCUUUGCGGGUGGCACCAAAUAUGUGGUAAGAGUUUUACCUUCAAUAUUUUGUUACCCAAUGAAGGGUUGUAAAUACAUUCUCAUCAUUUGAGUUUAUAUCUAUUUUUGUUGCACCAAUUAUGACUUGUAACGCUAGAGUUAGCCAAGUGUAACUGUAACAUGUAUUACUUUUACAUUUAAUACCAUAAGCCUACCUCCAUCUUCACCAAGUUUCUUGAGCCAUAAAUGAAACUUCUAAAAUUAUGUAGCGGAAUUUUGGAUAAACACUUUUAGAGUAGAAGGAGUAGCAGUGGAUUGUUUUAAUCCAAAAAAAAAAAAAUACUUUUAAUCAAUACAAGAACUUGUGUUGAGGAGAAACUUAUGUAAACUUUUAAGGGUAUAACUUUUCUAGCUUCUUGGGAAGAUUGAAAGGUUACUUUGGUGGUCCUCUUGUCAUGUUUAUGAUUUAUCUAUUUCUUGAUUUUUUUCAAAAAGUUAAAUAAAUAAAAGAGUAAGACUCAAAUAUGGCCUUGUACACAACAAUUGAAAGAUACGAUGUGAUCUAAAAUACACAUUGAUGAAACAUGUUUAAAAUGCUGAAAUAGGUGAAAUAUUUGCCAACCAUAAAAGCCUCGAUAUACUUAUCUCUCAACAACCAGAAACACCUACAAAAAGUUUAAGAAGGAUGGACAUGUGUGGAGCAAAAAGAUGGAAAGACUAUUCAGGAAACUCAUGUCAACCUCAAGGCCCAAAGAUGAGAAACCGUGAAGAAAUCCAGAUGCAGCAGAGGGAGAAAAUGGACCUGGGAUGUACAUGUCAGUGGCUCUAAAUAAUGACACACAACCUAAGACUGGGAUGGAAAUAGGGGCGGUUAUGAGAAUUAAAAUGGGAGUGGGAGAGCAUUGCUGUGUAGAAAGAAUCAUGUAGAAAAAAUUGUAUUGAGAAUUUAUUUUUGGGGGGAGUACUGGCCUCUCAUAUUAGCUAGCUUAGUAUUUUCAUCUUCGUAUUGGAGUGUGUUUUUCCUGAAGCAGUUUCCAGUUUAUUCCUAUUGACAGCAUUGUAAUGAAAUGAAUUGAGUGAUUGAAUAUUACAUUGAUAAAUGAAAGAAACAUUUUCUGAUAACAUUCUGUGCUGCCCCCUAUUUUUCUGCUAUUACGUUGCUUCAUUUUGGUAGGUUGACGCUGUGAAAUUGACAUUUGCUUGCUGAAGUAGUGAUUCUGUUGUGCACUUGUUGAUUGUGCUCUUGGGUGGUGGAGAAAGGGUCUGAAGUGUUGGAACAAGGCUGAGUAGAGAGACUUAAGAUCAACUUAAGUUGGAGAGAGACUGUAGAAAUUGCAGCAGCUGCCUUUUCACUGGUGUGCAGCGUUGAGAUGUUGGAGUGCUUGUAUUGUAUGUCCACGGACAAGAAAUGAAAAUUUUCAGACACCUGUCUAUUGGUGAUUAACAGCUGCAGAGGGCCUUCAGACAUAGCUCUUUUUCACCACUGAGAAGACAAAGUUAGCUCAUAUCUCUCUAUUUUUGUGCUUCGUCUGUUCUCAUCUAAAUCUGCUUCUUUAUUUCAUGCCCUUCUUCAAUUCUAGUUGUCACAUUGUUUCUGAGAAUGCGAGGAAGCCAGGAAAUAUUGCAAACACGGUAAGAAGUCUACCAAAGUAACCACUCAAUCUUUUCAAGAAACUGGAAAAACAAUACCCAUUUAGGGGGUAUUAGGUUCUUGUUCUUAUAACUUAAUUUACAAGUAAUAAGUUGAUUAGCUUGUUUUGAUUAGUUAAAAUCUGUGCUUUCUGUUCCAGGAGAUGGAAUGCCUUAUUACAAUUGUUAGUUUGAAAGUAAGCCUUUCCCCCAAGAGACUAAGAAUGACUUCCUCCCUAAUCCUGGUACACCUGGUUGCCAUUAUGAUUUGCAGGUAACGAAGAAGUCUGUGGAACAAUUUUCAGAGGUAAAGCUUGAUAAGCUUGAAAACUGCCCUGUAUAUCAAUCUAAUUCUCUUCAAUUUUUUUAAAGAACAUAAACUUCUUGUUUCUACCACAAAAGUAUACUUUCUGAAAAUCAUUGAAGUAGAUGUGUUU
Mangifera indica (mango) is the source of this 4450-nucleotide RNA transcript. RefSeq lists it as uncharacterized. The transcript has 10 exons. The record is from RefSeq and is a predicted model, not a curated record. Lineage: Eukaryota; Viridiplantae; Streptophyta; Magnoliopsida; Sapindales; Anacardiaceae.